RNAcentral lists this ribosomal RNA (495 nucleotides) under Podarcis vaucheri. RNAcentral's name for it is "partial 16S ribosomal RNA". It matches the Rfam family "Bacterial large subunit ribosomal RNA", at positions 1860 to 2606 of the family's 2925-position model. Lineage: Eukaryota; Metazoa; Chordata; Lepidosauria; Squamata; Lacertidae. The record is from RNAcentral.
UGCCCAGUGACUCUUUAAACGGCCGCGGUAUCCUAACCGUGCAAAGGUAGCAUAAUCACUUGUCCCCUAAAUAGGGACUAGAAUGAACGGCUAAAUGAGGACAAAACUGUCUCUUACGGACCAACCAAUGAAAUUGAUCUUCCAGUACAAAAGCUGGAAUAAACCCAUAAGACGAGAAGACCCUGUGGAGCUUUAAAACCAAAACCACCAAACAUGUUUCUUGGUUUUUUAGUUGGGGCGACUUUGGAGAAAAAAUAAUCCUCCAAACUAUAAACCCAUUUAUUAAGAAUAACACAUCAAAAAUAAUUAAAUAGACCCAGCAACAUUAUGUUGUCUGACCAAUGAACCAAGUUACCCCAGGGAUAACAGCGCCAUCCUCUUCUAGAGUCCCUAUCGACAAGAGGGUUUACGACCUCGAUGUUGGAUCAGGACACCCCUAUAGUGCAGCCGCUUUAAAAGGUUCGUUUGUUCAACGAUUAAAGUCCUACGUGAUCU